Molecule: ribosomal RNA, 824 nt
Filed under: Alteromonas sp.
Lineage: Bacteria; Pseudomonadati; Pseudomonadota; Gammaproteobacteria; Alteromonadales; Alteromonadaceae
Description: bacterial SSU rRNA
Rfam family: Bacterial small subunit ribosomal RNA
Source: RNAcentral
UGCAGUCGAACGGUAACAUUUCUAGCUUGCUAGAAGAUGACGAGUGGCGGACGGGUGAGUAAUGCUUGGGAACUUGCCUUUAGGAGGGGGAUAACAGUUGGAAACGACUGCUAAUACCGCAUAAUGUCUACGGACCAAAGGGGGCUUCGGCUCUCACCUAAAGAGAGGCCCAAGUGAGAUUAGCUAGUUGGUAAGGUAAAAGCUUACCAAGGCGACGAUCUCUAGCUGUUCUGAGAGGAAGAUCAGCCACACUGGGACUGAGACACGGCCCAGACUCCUACGGGAGGCAGCAGUGGGGAAUAUUGCACAAUGGGGGAAACCCUGAUGCAGCCAUGCCGCGUGUGUGAAGAAGGCCUUCGGGUUGUAAAGCACUUUCAGUUGUGAGGAAAGGUUGGUAGUUAAUACCUGCCAGCUGUGACGUUAACAACAGAAGAAGCACCGGCUAACUCCGUGCCAGCAGCCGCGGUAAUACGGAGGGUGCGAGCGUUAAUCGGAAUUACUGGGCGUAAAGCGCACGCAGGCGGUUUGUUAAGCUAGAUGUGAAAGCCCCGGGCUCAACCUGGGAUGGUCAUUUAGAACUGGCAGACUAGAGUCUUGGAGAGGGGAGUGGAAUUCCAGGUGUAGCGGUGAAAUGCGUAGAUAUCUGGAGGAACAUCAGUGGCGAAGGCGGCUCCCUGGCCAAAGACUGACGCUCAUGUGCGAAAGUGUGGGUAGCGAACAGGAUUAGAUACCCUGGUAGUCCACACCGUAAACGCUGUCUACUAGCUGUUUGUGAAUUUAAUUCGUGAGUAGCGAAGCUAACGCGAUAAGUAGACCGCCUGGGG